UACGCAGGGUGCGAGCGUUGUUCGGAUUUACUGGGCGUAAAGGGCGCGCAGGCGGCUCAUUUUGUCAGGCGUGAAAGCCCCGGGCUUAACCUGGGAACUGCGUUUGAUACGUGAUGGCUGGAGUGGGGAAGAGGGUCGUGGAAUUCCCAGUGUAGAGGUGAAAUUCGUAGAUAUUGGGAAGAACACCGGUGGCGAAGGCGGCGACCUGGUCCGUGACUGACGCUGAGGCGCGAAAGCGUGGGGAGCAAACAGG
This 253-nucleotide ribosomal RNA is filed under the name uncultured bacterium. RNAcentral's name for it is "partial 16S ribosomal RNA". It matches the Rfam family "Bacterial small subunit ribosomal RNA", at positions 524 to 776 of the family's 1533-position model. The record is from RNAcentral.